UUGAUCCUGGCUCAGAAUCAACGCUGGCGGCGUGCCUAACACAUGCAAGUCGAACGCGAAAGCCCCGCAAGGGGUAAGUAGAGUGGCAAACGGGUGAGUUACACGUGGGUGACCUGCCUUCGAGUGGGGGAUAACGUCCCGAGAGGGACUCCAAUACCGCAUGACAUCCUGCUCUUGGACGAGCGGAGAUCAAAGCUGGUGAUCGCAAGACCUGGCGCUUGGAGAGGGGCCCGCGUCUGAUUAGCUAGUUGGUGAGGUAACGGCUCACCAAGGCGACGAUCAGUAUCCGGCCUGAGAGGUCGGACGGACACACUGGGACUGAGACACGGCCCAGACUCCUACGGGAGGCUGCAGUGGGGAAUUGUUCGCAAUGGGCGCAAGCCUGACGACGCAACGCCGUGUGGAGGAUGAAGAUCUUCGGGUCGUAAACUCCUGUCGAGCGGGAAGAAUGUUUCGCGGAUGAAUAAGCCGCGGAAGUGACGGUACCGCUAAAGGAAGCUCCGGCUAACUCCGUGCCAGCAGCCGCGGUAAUAAGGU
This 537-nucleotide ribosomal RNA is filed under the name uncultured Acidobacteriota bacterium. Its description in RNAcentral is "bacterial SSU rRNA". It matches the Rfam family "Bacterial small subunit ribosomal RNA", at positions 13 to 529 of the family's 1533-position model. The record is from RNAcentral. Lineage: Bacteria; Pseudomonadati; Acidobacteriota.